AAUAUGAACUAGUUAUCAACAGGCAUGACAAAAAAAGCAAGUUAAUAUUUAGUUUUACAUAAAAAUUUCAUACUCUUCCAAAAAUAACUAUAUCUCCAAAAGGUAAGAUGGUCAAUAAAAAACUAAAUUUGAACGUCCAGUAGUAGGGUGAGGGAGGCAUUUUUUAUUGUUACCAGUAACAGUAUGACAUAACUCUGCACAUCCUUUUGGUAAUGUAUAUGUGUUUUCUUUGAGCUACUAUCCCAUCUUUAC
Molecule: long non-coding RNA, 252 nt
Filed under: Bos taurus (domestic cattle)
Lineage: Eukaryota; Metazoa; Chordata; Mammalia; Artiodactyla; Bovidae
Description: long non-coding RNA NONBTAT011446
Source: RNAcentral